Non-coding RNA from Vicia faba (fava bean), 300 nucleotides. The record is from the annotation of a GenBank genome assembly. Lineage: Eukaryota; Viridiplantae; Streptophyta; Magnoliopsida; Fabales; Fabaceae.
AUGAGUGGUGGUGCUUCCACUGAGGGUCGUUGGUUGCGGGAGAACGACUAUGCGGUGUCGAUUUGCAAUGUUGCAGUGCUACUACUAUGGCGGAGCGACGAAUCCCGUGCCGGAAUCGUGCGGGUCUACUGCGGCCGGUUGUGUGAUCCUGGUCGGGUUGUGAGGAUGAUGGCGGAUUGGAGAGCUUUUGAUGGAGGCUUGCGGAGACUUCACGGUGGAAGCUUGUGUGCAUUCUGCGCGUGGUCGGCGUUUGUAAUAAGCUACGGCGGAGCCCAGGUUGUUGAGGUUGUUGGAGCAUGA